UACGUAGGGUGCGAGCGUUAAUCGGAAUUACUGGGCGUAAAGCGUGCGCAGGCGGUUUUGUAAGACAGAUGUGAAAUCCCCGGGCUUAACCUGGGAACUGCAUUUGUGACUGCAAGACUAGAGUACGGCAGAGGGGGGUAGAAUUCCUGGUGUAGCGGUGAAAUGCGUAGAUAUCAGGAGGAAUACCAGUGGCGAAGGCGACCCCCUGGGCCAAUACUGACGCUGAGGUACGAAAGCGUGGGUAGCGAACAGG
RNAcentral lists this ribosomal RNA (253 nucleotides) under uncultured bacterium. Its description in RNAcentral is "partial 16S ribosomal RNA". It matches the Rfam family "Bacterial small subunit ribosomal RNA", at positions 524 to 776 of the family's 1533-position model. The record is from RNAcentral.